This 600-nucleotide ribosomal RNA is filed under the name uncultured Actinomycetes bacterium. Its description in RNAcentral is "bacterial SSU rRNA". It matches the Rfam family "Bacterial small subunit ribosomal RNA", at positions 252 to 866 of the family's 1533-position model. The record is from RNAcentral. Lineage: Bacteria; Bacillati; Actinomycetota; Actinomycetes.
GUGAGGUAACGGCUCACCAAGGCAUCGACGGGUAGCUGGUCUGAGAGGAUGAUCAGCCACACUGGGACUGAGACACGGCCCAGACUCCUACGGGAGGCAGCAGUAGGGAAUAUUGCACAAUGGGCGAAAGCCUGAUGCAGCAACGCCGCGUGCGGGAAGAAGGCCCUAGGGUUGUAAACCGCUUUCAGCAGGGAAGAAAAUGACGGUACCUGCAGAAGAAGGUGCGGCCAACUACGUGCCAGCAGCCGCGGUGACACGUAGGCACCAAGCGUUGUCCGGAUUUAUUGGGCGUAAAGAGCUCGUAGGCGGUUCAGUUAGUCGGGUGUGAAAACUCUGGGCUCAACCCAGAGACGCCACUCGAUACUGCUGUGACUAGAGUGCGGUAGGGGAGCGGGGAAUUCCUAGUGUAGCGGUGAAAUGCGCAGAUAUUAGGAGGAACACCAGUGGCGAAGGUGCCGCUCUGGGCCGUAACUGACGCUGAGGAGCGAAAGCGUGGGUAGCAAACAGGAUUAGAUACCCUGGUAGUCCACGCCGUAAACGUUGGGCACUAGGUGUGGGUCUCAACCAACGAGAUCCGCGCCGUCGCUAACGCAUUAAGUG